Molecule: ribosomal RNA, 497 nt
Filed under: uncultured bacterium
Lineage: Bacteria
Description: partial 16S ribosomal RNA
Rfam family: Bacterial small subunit ribosomal RNA
Source: RNAcentral
GAUGAACGCUGGCGGCGUGCCUAAUACAUGCAAGUCGAGCGAACAGACGAGGAGCUUGCUCCUCUGACGUUAGCGGCGGACGGGUGAGUAACACGUGGAUAACCUACCUAUAAGACUGGGAUAACUUCGGGAAACCGGAGCUAAUACCGGAGAAUAUAUUGAACCGCAUGGGUCAUUAGUGAAAGACGGCUUUGCUGUCACUUAUAGAUGGAUCUGCGCCGCAUUAGCUAGUUGUUAGGGUAACGGCUUACCACGGCAACGAUGCGUAGCCGACCUGAGAGGGUGAUCGGCCACACUGGAACUGAGACACGGUCCAGGGUCCUACGGGAGGCAGCAGUAGGGAAUCGUCCGCAGUGGGCGAAAGCCUGACGGAGCAACGCCGCGUGAGUGAUGAAGGUCUUCGGAUCGUAAAACUCUGUUAUUAGGGAAAAACAAAUGUGUAAGUAGCUAUGCACGUCUUGACGGUACCUAAUCAGAAAGCCACGGCUAACUACGUG